Leptonychotes weddellii (Weddell seal) is the source of this 645-nucleotide long non-coding RNA. RefSeq lists it as uncharacterized. NCBI's taxonomy places the organism in Eukaryota, Metazoa, Chordata, Mammalia, Carnivora, Phocidae. The record is from RefSeq and is a predicted model, not a curated record.
UGGCGCCCGCCAGUCUCCAGCCCGGCGAGAGCGAGAGCCCGCCUCCGCAGGCGUUUCAAAUCAGACGCCUGCCUCUCAGCCCGACGCUCCGGGACAAGCAAAAAGCAAGUGAGCCUUUCCCGCGCAAAGUCCGGCGUGCCUCCAUGCUGGACCCUGAGGCGGGACACCCCAUGGAGAUGACCUUCAACAAGUGUCAGUGGUAUCAGCUGCAGGCAGCUUCCUGGAAAGCUGCUUUCCAGUGAGUUUAUUACCACCCUGGUGGGUGCCUUCCAGUCUCUCUCUUGGUCACUCUGAUGAACUGUGUGUUGUGUGCUGCUCUGGGGAGAGAGACAUGUGACAAGGAACGGAGGGCAGCGUCUGACCAACAUGCAGUGAGAAUCUGAGGUCCUCAGUCUGGGAACUUGUGAAGAACUAUAUCCUUAUCCUGAGAGCCUGAAGAUGAAACCAGAGUCCACACCUUGAUUAUAGCCUUGUGAGACACUUUGAGUUAGUGACACAGCAAAGCUGUGCUUAGAUUCCUGAUCUGCAGAAACUGUGAGAUAACAAAUAUUCUUGCUUAAAGCCACCAAGUUUUGUUAUGUAGCAGUGGAGAAUUGAUACAAAUAUAUCACAACAGUGUAUUUGUUUCCUGUGGCUGCUCUAACA